AUGCUAUUUAGCCAUGCCCUUUCCCAGGACCAAACUCUGCCACUUUGUUCGGUUCUGCCCCCCUUUUGCUCGCCUUACCCCUUGGUUCCACCCUUCUUCACUCCCCUCCUCACUUGCACCAACACUAAUAAGCACUCUCACUUCCCUGUGACCUCUCUCCAUUCUCCUCACUCCACAGCCAUGGCGUCUGCUGAAGAAGGCGCACAGCCGCUCAUGUAUCAGACUGUGGCUCUGAAGGUCAGCAUCCACUGUGAGGGCUGCAAGAAGAAGGUCAAGAAGGUGCUACAGACCAUAGAAGGUGUGUACAAGACGGACAUAGACACCCAGCAGCACAAGGUAGUGGUCGUUGGCAAUGUCUCCGUCGACGCGCUCGUCAAGAAGCUCAUCAAGACCGGCAAGCACGCCGAGCCGUGGCCGGAGCCCCUUCCUCCCCCCUCUGACGCUAACCCGCCUGCCAGCGGAGGCGGCGGUGAUGGUGGCGGUGGCGGCAAGAAGAAGAAGAAAAAGAAGAACAAAAACAAGACCGCCGAGCCGGCGGCGCCGGGUGCCCCGACGGCGGAAGGCGCUGGAGGCUCUGUUCCCCCGAAGAAUCACGACCACACGGGCACGUGCGAUGAGGCGUCCGGCCACGAGCAGCCUCAUCAGGUUGAAGGCGGCGGUGGUGGAGGCGGCGACCCACCGAAGAACCCGGGUGCCGGAGAUCCGCACGACGGACGGGCCGGCAUGGUCGCCCCUUUCGCCAUGACGCCGCAAGGCAUGCAGCCUAUGGCACCCAGCGCCAAUGCCUCCGGUGGCGGCGGUGGCGGCAAGAAGAAAAAGAAGGGCAAGGGAGGCAAUAACGGCAAUGCCAAUGCCAACGGCGGAGACGGUGCAACAGCGCAGAUGAGCCCACACGACGCGCCCGCGAAUCCCGCCAUAGGAAACGCCGGUCAGAACGCCCCCGCCGUCGUCGACGCCGGGGCCUACCCGCCCGCCACCGCGAUGAGCUACCCGGGCUACUACGGCAGCGGCGCCGGUGCAGGGCACAUGCCGCCACCGUACGCCAUGAGCUACAGCACCUCGCACCCGCACCGGAGCAGCGCGUACUACCACCCCAUGGCCGGCGCGGCCUACACGGGCGGCGCGGGGUACUACUACUCAACGGCACCGGUGUCGGCGGCGCCGGGGUCGUAUUACAUGUUCAGCGAGGAGAAUGCCAACGCAUGCAGCGUUAUGUGA
Molecule: ribosomal RNA, 1218 nt
Filed under: Triticum aestivum (bread wheat)
Lineage: Eukaryota; Viridiplantae; Streptophyta; Magnoliopsida; Poales; Poaceae
Description: partial small subunit ribosomal RNA
Source: RNAcentral